This 253-nucleotide ribosomal RNA is filed under the name uncultured bacterium. RNAcentral's name for it is "partial 16S ribosomal RNA". It matches the Rfam family "Bacterial small subunit ribosomal RNA", at positions 524 to 776 of the family's 1533-position model. The record is from RNAcentral.
UACGAAGGGGGCUAGCGUUGUUCGGAUUUACUGGGCGUAAAGCGCACGUAGUCGGCUUUGCAAGUCGGGUGUGAAAUCCCCGGGCUCAACCUGGGAACUGCAUCCGAGACUGCAUUGCUAGAGUAUGGGAGAGGGAAGCGGAAUUUCUGGUGUAGCAGUGAAAUGCGUAGAUAUCUGGAGGAACACCGGUGGCGAAGGCGGCAUCCUGGACCGGUAUUGACGCUGAGGCGCGAAAGCUAGGGGAGCAAACGGG